Molecule: long non-coding RNA, 727 nt
Organism: Patella vulgata (common limpet)
Lineage: Eukaryota; Metazoa; Mollusca; Gastropoda; Patellidae
Exons: 4
Source: RefSeq, a predicted model, not a curated record
UUAAUAUUUGGUAUUGGAGAGUUGUCUGUCCCUAACCUUCAGCCAUUUUUCGGAGUGAAAGCACACAGGACUUAGUCUUAAAAAGUAGAAGGCAAAAUGGCUGGUAAAGCGAAAAUGAUGACGGGAUUGACCUUUGCAAGUCUUAAACAGCACAACUCUUUGAUUCCUUUGUUUUUCUUUACUGGCAUUGGAUUUGCUGGAGCAAUGGGCUACUUAUUUCGAUUAGCUUCUAGAUGCCCAGAUGUGAGUUGGAACAAAACCUCAAACCCAUUACCAUGGCAACAGUGGAAGCCAACCGAUCAGUACAAGUUUUAUUCACCAUCAAGAGACUACUCCAAGGAAAGAUUCCCAGCUGAACGACCCCAAAUUGACUAAAUAAUCUUACUGACAGUAUAGUUAAUACCGGUAUUUAAAAUUAAGAAUGGAUAUGAAUGAAGAAAUAAACUAAAUUUUAUGAUUAAUUGACCAUUAAAAAUACUUUUGAAAGCAUUUAAUAUUCUCUUUUGACCUUUAUCAGUUAAUGGUGCUUUUUUGGUUUUUUGUUUAGUUUUACAAUUUGAGAUAUUUGAGUUCUGACUCAUCCCCAAGCGCACAAAUCUUGGUUUCUCAAUUUACAAUAUUUUGGGUAUUUUUCUUUUUUCUUGUCCAUCUAUACAGAAUAGAUUAUAUAAAUUAUGGUUUGUAAAUAUUCAGCUACCUGUAUCUAGAAUAAAUGUGUUUUACUGAU